This 260-nucleotide ribosomal RNA is filed under the name uncultured bacterium. RNAcentral's name for it is "partial 16S ribosomal RNA". It matches the Rfam family "Bacterial small subunit ribosomal RNA", at positions 793 to 1055 of the family's 1533-position model. The record is from RNAcentral.
GUCCACGCCGUAACUAUGGAUACUAGGUGUUGGGACAUUAACCUCCUGAGUACCAAAGCUAACGCAUUAAGUAUCCCGCCUGGGGAGUACGGUCGCAAGGCUAAACUCAAAGGAAUUGACGGGGCCCGCACAAGCGGUGGAGUAUGUGGUUUAAUUCGAAGCAACGCGCAGAACCUUACCUACCCUUAACAUCCCGGGAAGUUUGCAGAGAUGUAAACGUCACUUCGGUGACUCGGUGAUAGGUGCUGCAUGGCUGUCGU